RNAcentral lists this long non-coding RNA (3987 nucleotides) under Sus scrofa (pig). RNAcentral's name for it is "lncRNA (ENSSSCG00000061352.1)". Lineage: Eukaryota; Metazoa; Chordata; Mammalia; Artiodactyla; Suidae. The record is from RNAcentral.
AUGGAUUGUUUCCCUAGUGGAAAAGACAAAGCAAACAAAGGCCCCCCCCCAUUAUAAAAAGCCCAUUUGCACAUGAUUUGCAGAUUCCCCCUAAUCAGAGGCCAUUGUUCCAAUGCAGCAGCAUUUUAGUUUGGUACUUCAAGGAACUCAGCACAGGGCCUCAGCUUUGCAAUAGUAAAUUACCUUUCCUCUUCUUGCCUCUGGCUUUUUGUCCUCUUCCACCCCACCCCCAGCAAUUUCAAGUUUAAACUCAAACUACAGUGUGAGGGGAUGUCUGGCUACAGAUUGCAUGCAGUUGCGGGUGAAAUCUUAGGCAUGAUUGCAGUGACGUUGAAGUUGACACAAGUUUAGACAAUUUGAAAAGCACCUUUUGGGCAUUCUCACCUGUGACUAUCCCUUACAUUUGCAUUAACCUUUGGGUUAAAUUUUCAAGCUAACAUGUUCAGCUUUAAUUCUCUCAAUCUUGGAUUUGUGUUUCUUUUAAAGCUGCAGGGCCCUAUUUUCAAAUGAAGAUGGAUGUGAAAACUUGGUGUGGCUUUCACAGAUAUUCCGAUCCCCAGUAGGCUUUUUCACUCUCCUCCCACCCAUCAGCACACAUUUGUGAUGAUUGUUGCGUUUUUUUUUUUUAAUGGCCACACUUGUGGCAUAUGGAGGUUCCUAGGCUAGAGGUCUAAUUGGAGCUAUAGUCUCUGGCCUACGCCACAGCCAUAGCAACACCAUAUCCAAGCCUCAUCUGUGACCUAUACCACAGCUCAUGGCAACGCUGGAUCCUUAACCCACUGAGCGAGGCCAGGGAUCAAACCUGCAACCUCAGGGUUCCUAGUGGAUUCGUUUCUGCUGUGCCAUGACAGGAACUCCUUGAUGAUUAAUAUUGACAAUUUCAAACACAUGGAGUUCUCUGUGUGGCUCAGUGGGCUAAGAACCUGACCAGUAUCCCUGGUCUGGCUCCGUGGGUUAAGGAUCCGGUGUUGCUGUGAGCUGUGGUGUAGGUUGCAGAAGCCGCUUGAAUCCCACGUUGCUGUGGCUGUGGCAUAGACCGGCAGCUGCAGCUCCAAUUGAACUCCUUGCCUGGGAACCUCCAUAUUGCCACAAGUGUGGCCCUAAAAAGGCAAAGAAAAAAGAAAGAAUCCAAAUAAAGUCCACAGGUUGCCUUUGAUCCUCUCCAUUACUCGUACUCUCUCCCCCAAUUUCAUGACUGGGCUUAUGGUCUUUUUCUUCCCCUUUGGGAAAUGAUCAGAAGGUAAAGUCACAAAGACAGUUCCAAUGUUGGCAGGAUGUUCUGAGCAUUCUCCACUGCAUUUUUUAAAUCUAAAGCCCUACAUUUAUAGUUUAACAUGUAAACUUUCCAUUCUUUUGUUUUUGAAAGCGAUGUUUUGUCAAUGACACUCUCUGAGAAUUGUCCUGAGGAAAAUGGAGAUGCGCAUAGAAUGCCCAGCACACAGAAAACACUCAAAAACUUUAUGGAUUUUUAAUUGGUAAUGAUGACCAUUGCAAUUAUGGCAUCUCAGAAAUUGAGUCUUAGAGUCAGCUGACCUGUGUUGGAAAUCGGGUUUUCUACCUGCAUGUGACAGAAGGAACACUGCUAAAUCUUCCUUUCAUUAAUUAUGAAUUGAGAAUCAUAAUAGCUCCUGGCACUUUAAGGAAAAGAGUUACUGUGGAUAAGACACAUAUAAUGUUACUGGGCACAAAACAGGUCUUCAGCAAUGGUAGUGUAUAUACCAUUUUAUAUAUAAUAAAAUACAAAUAUUAAGUCAGCCAUUACCAUGCACCUUAUCUCUUUUCCUUACCUUUCCAUUCCCAUGUGGAUAGGAAUCCUUAUGUUUCAAUAUACACACUGUGUAGUAGAAUAUUUAUUUAGGAUUCUAGGUCUGAACUCAGUUUUUGGUAGCAAUCAAGCCUUAGGCAUUUCUCUCUACCUGCUUGAGCACAGUUUAUUUUUUUUGUAAAAUAGAAUCAUAUCUGUUUUGAAAACAUGACAAAGUCAGUGUAAUACUCACAUAGAUUCCACAUGGGUGAAAGUGCUUGAAAACGGUGAAGGUGCCUCCUGACAUGCUGAGUCCAAAGUACACCGAACAGAUUGUCAAAUAAAUGCACACAAAUUCUGAUGGUUGAUUCCAUUCGGGAAAUAAUUCAUAAAUAUUAUCCUAAAAAUAUAUGUUAAUCUUCCUGGGUUUACUUGCUUUUCUUUGCCAUUGAAUCAUUCCACCAGGAUUUCCUUUGUUUUGACCAAUAACCAGAAAAUGCUUGGAGGGCGUGUGUUAAGGGAGAAAUCACCUUGAUGCAAUGGUGCCCUCCAAGUGUUAGGUGGGAUAGAAUAAGGACUUGGAUCUGGGUGAUUCAAAACAGGCCAUUUAUUGUCACCAAAAACCAGAAGUCUAUGAUCAAAAGUUAAAGACAGGCAAAUACCAGAGGAAUGCGCUUUAGAGCAACUCCUUAUAACCUUUUUCCCAUGUAAAUAAGGCAUCCUUGCUGAAACCAAUCAGAAGUUCCCAACACGCCCCCUUACGCACGCACGCACGCACGCACACGCACGGUGGCGCAGUGGGGUUGGGACAGGAAACUGGUCAGCAUGGGGCAAGAGAAUAGAGGUCACAAACAGGUGGGCGGAGUAGGGAUAUAAGCAGAAACCUAGUUGCAGCCAGCGCCAGUCCCUACCUAGGGCGGCCCACUGUCUCUGAGGGUGGGCAUAAAACUUGCUACUUGACUCUCGGUUGCGACUUAUGAGGCAACCAGCAGGAGCGUUUUUUCCGCUCAGGACUACGGACCGGAAUGGCUCAUUAAGCCCAGGUCAGAGCUGUUACACUGCAAGGUGUCAGUUGGGAAAUUCCAUUGGAUUGAGAACUUCUCUGUUCUGAGCUGAUUGCUUCUGCGUGGAGAGACUGCCUGCCUCCAUCCCUGCCUGGCAAGACCACUGGGUCUCUCCCAGCGCUGCCGCAGCAUCUCUCGGCGGAACAGCCUCCCACCAGCUUGCCUGCCUCCAUCCUGUGCGACGAAGCCGGCUGGCUCUAUCCCGGUGCCGCCACCUCACUUCUCAGCCCGCACCUCCAAAUCCUUGUGUGUAGGCAAGGACAGAGGGAGAUAGCGCCGAGCAGAUGAACCUGACACAGGACAUUACAGAGCCACCUGCCUCGGAGGUCAGGAACCUAAAGACUCGAGUACCAGUCUAAGAGGUUUGAAUCACAUGGUUUAAUAAACUCACCGAGAGAAGCAAAGGGGAAGAGAUGGAAGAGAUGGAGGAUGAAUGCAUCUAAGGUGGGUACAAAACAGGGUAAAAGGACCAGAAUCCCUGAAUCCCAUAGUAGGCAAUGCUUAUAGUCUCUCUCUGUCUGUCACUUUCUGUUUCUGACACAUUAGCCUUUCCCUGCUGGGGUUACAUGGAGGAACAGAGUUCCUAAUGAACAAGCGGGUCAACAUAUGGAAAAUACUUGAGGCAAACACACACCUGCUUUUAUGAGACACACAGGCAAAUUUGCCUGGCCACAGCUGUAGCUUGCCAGUUGGCCUACUGGCUUUUAUCCAUGUGUUGUAGGCAGACAACUGAGGGGAAUGAAUGUUCCCAAUGAGUGGCCAACUAAAUGCCUGGUGAGUUUUGAAUGCCUUAUGAAUAGUUAGUGUGACUUUGAAUAUUCUACUUACUUUAUCUAUGUUUAAUAGGUCUCACUGGCCACUGGCAUCGAUUACUUUCCUCUGUCCUCAUUGGCCUGUUUCUCUUAGUUUAUAGAGUCAAACUGAACAUCCUUAAACAACAGAGCAAAUGUACCAUCAUGUACCACAAUUUUUGUGUGAAAGUAGCCUGAACUUCCACUCUAACUUAACCUUCCUCCUGUUCUCAGAAUGAGACAGGGGAGCUGAAGGAAGGAAAUGGAGACCAGGUUCCAACAUUAGAACCAGACUAGCAUCUUAGCACCACACUGGGUCUUUUUUGAAUAAAUUUGGAAGCAAAAGGAAAUCCACGCAUGUCAGCCUUUGACAGGCCACGUAAGGUAG